RNAcentral lists this ribosomal RNA (531 nucleotides) under Babesia vogeli. RNAcentral describes it as "SSU rRNA". It matches the Rfam family "Eukaryotic small subunit ribosomal RNA", at positions 504 to 1086 of the family's 1831-position model. Lineage: Eukaryota; Apicomplexa; Aconoidasida; Piroplasmida; Babesiidae. The record is from RNAcentral.
UGUAAUUGGAAUGAUGGUGACCCAAACCCUCACCAGAGUAGCAAUUGGAGGGCAAGUCUGGUGCCAGCAGCCGCGGUAAUUCCAGCUCCAAUAGCGUAUAUUAAACUUGUUGCAGUUAAAAAGCUCGUAGUUGAAUUUUAGCGUGUUCGAGUUUGCCAUUCGUUUGGCUUUUUCGAGUUCGCUUUUGGGUUUUCCCUUUUUACUUUGAGAAAAUUAGAGUGUUUCAAGCAGACUUUUGUCUUGAAUACUUCAGCAUGGAAUAAUAGAGUAGGACUUUGGUUCUAUUUUGUUGGUUAUUGAACCUUAGUAAUGGUUAAUAGGAACGGUUGGGGGCAUUCGUAUUUAACUGUCAGAGGUGAAAUUCUUAGAUUUGUUAAAGACGAACUACUGCGAAAGCAUUUGCCAAGGACGUUUCCAUUAAUCAAGAACGAAAGUUAGGGGAUCGAAGACGAUCAGAUACCGUCGUAGUCCUAACCAUAAACCAUGCCGACUAGUGAUUGGAGGUCGUCGUUUUGCUGACCCCUUCAGGAA